Molecule: ribosomal RNA, 517 nt
Filed under: uncultured Acaulospora
Lineage: Eukaryota; Fungi; Glomeromycota; Glomeromycetes; Diversisporales; Acaulosporaceae
Description: SSU rRNA
Rfam family: Eukaryotic small subunit ribosomal RNA
Source: RNAcentral
AGCAGCCGCGGUAAUUCCAGCUCCAAUAGCGUAUAUUAAAGUUGUUGCAGUUAAAAAGCUCGUAGUUGAAUUUCGGAAUUUGUCGGUUGGUCGGGCUUCACUGUCCGCACUGGCCUGAUGGAUUCCUACCUUCUGAAUAACCAGCAUGCUAUUAAGUUAGUGCGUUGGGGAAGCAGAGCUAUUACCUUGAAAAAUUAGAGUGCUUAAAGCAGGCUUGUGCUUGAAUAGAUUAGCAUGGAAUAAUAAAAUAGGACGGCAUGGUUCUAUUUUGUUGGUUUCUAGGAUCACCGUAAUGAUUAAUAGGGAUAGUUGGGGGCAUUAGUAUUCAAUUGUCAGAGGUGAAAUUCUUGGAUUUAUUGAAGACUAACUUCUGCGAAAGCAUUUGCCAAGGAUGUUUUCAUUAAUCAAGAACGAAAGUUAGGGGAUCGAAGACGAUCAGAUACCGUCGUAGUCUUAACCAUAAACUAUGCCGACUAGGGAUCGGACGAUGUUAAUUUUUAAUGACUCGUUCGGUACG